UGAGAUCACCUCGGAAGAGUACAUGGACAGAGAAGGCAGCCAUCCUGAGUGGCCCUUACAUUUAGGGGAGUUAUGCAGAGGGAGGUCAUAUGGAAUACUGAAAAUUAAUAACCAAUGAUUUAAGAAAAACAGCUUGUUCUCAUCCUGGUGCAAAAGUCAGUCCGUGUCCUUCCUUCUGGGGAGCUGGGCUGCUGAAUGACCAACAGCAACUGCAGCAACACUGAGGAAUCCAGCUUCUGCCCUCAAAAAGUAACCAGGGUUACCUCUCCAUAUUUUUCUCAAAUGACACCAAUUUUACAAUCGGGGAGUCAAACUGCCCUUCACUUUGCCACCACCAGCAGAAUUCAUCAGCCAUCCAGCUCCACUGAAGAACUCCAGUCAUUUUCUGAGACUGUUUGGUUAAAAGUGGACACCACUUACUAUAUGAAACUCAGAAAGUA
Molecule: non-coding RNA, 440 nt
Organism: Oryctolagus cuniculus (rabbit)
Lineage: Eukaryota; Metazoa; Chordata; Mammalia; Lagomorpha; Leporidae
Source: RefSeq, a predicted model, not a curated record